Molecule: small RNA, 28 nt
Filed under: Bombyx mori (domestic silkworm)
Lineage: Eukaryota; Metazoa; Arthropoda; Insecta; Lepidoptera; Bombycidae
Description: ovarian small RNA-34540
Source: RNAcentral
UGGACCGCCUGAUGGUUUUGAUAAGUAC